CAGACAGUUUUAUUCAUGUAUUCAAGGCCAUGGCCCAUAUUGCAGUAAUGUGUAACAAGUGUGUUGAUGCUGGUCGUACAUUGCAGGUACCUUAUUAGUGUUGUCACAUGAUAAAUCUAAGAGACUCUUGUAAAAUUACAAUAGAGUAUUAUACAACCUUAUCAAACAAUAUUUCAGCUCAUAUGCUGAAAAGCUAAUCAUAAUUUGAAGUAUACAUGUAUUUCA
Long non-coding RNA from Haliotis rubra (blacklip abalone), 225 nucleotides. RefSeq lists it as uncharacterized. The transcript is spliced from 3 exons. The record is from RefSeq and is a predicted model, not a curated record. Lineage: Eukaryota; Metazoa; Mollusca; Gastropoda; Lepetellida; Haliotidae.